GAAGAAACCUUACAAUGUGGGGAAAGGGUGUUAUCCACAAUGAAAACAGAAUACGCAGGCUCUGGGUUGGAAGUACACCUGAAUUGUUCGACAAGAAAGCCACUGCAGCUGGAGAGGAGUGGGAAAGGAAGAGGGAGCCUGGGAAGAAGAUGAUAGAGAAGGAACAUGACAGGGAGGAAUAAGGCAAAUAAAUCCAAGACAUCGCAUUCCAUAGAUACUUUGCUAUGCAUAGAAGAUGUCAAACAUUCUAUUACUGCUUUUCAAAAAAAAAAAAAAAAAGAAAGGUGAACUUGAAGAAUAUUCACCUCCACCACCCACCACGGCAUUCCAGAAAACCUACCUGACUCGGCUAAGGUCAAGGGUACAAUGGGAAAUGUCCUGAGACCUGAAGAGCAGCUUGAUCUGAGAUAUCUGGAAGGCCCAUGUGCUACACGGUGCUUCUUCACAAAGCAUCUAUCACCUUGGAGUCACGAUUAUUGAGUGAGGACACGGCGUUUGUCCCCUCCAGAGGACACAGCAAUAAGGAACCAUCCUGGAAACAGAGCAAGUCCUCACUGGACACUGAACCUGCUGGAGCCCUGAUCUUGAACUUCCAGCCUCCAGAACUGUGAGCAAUGAAUUUCUGUUCUUUAUAACUUACCUAGUCUCAUGCAUUUUGUUAUGACACCACAAAUGGACAAAGCCAAGGCCAUGUAGUUUGCAGUAUGGCUUCUAGCUGCAUUGCUGUUAAGGCCCUGCUCCUUUCCCCCACAGUUGUCUCUCAAUCCCAGUACUACAGAGGCUCCUGCACCCCGUUAUUGCUCCUGAAGUUGGCCCUGGCCCUUGCUGUCUGUACCUCACCUCUUUGGAGCUGAGCUGCAUUGCCUGGAGGUUCUUAGAGUGGAAGUUUGUCCGGAGAGAUCUACAUGCAUUCUGACAACUACUCUCCACGUUGUUCCCGCUGCUGCUUGUUUUAUUUCAAAGGCACUUAACAAAACGAGUAAUGCUCUGUAAUUUUAGAUCUGCCAUUUUUUAAAACCAAAUAUAAUUUUUUAAGAAAUUUUUCUGCGCCAUUAUGUGUCUUCUAAAACCUAGUUUUAAGUGGCAGCAGUUUUUGUUCCUAAGAUGUAUCAUAAUUAAGCCUUUCACUCAUUGUUGGCUAUUUUGAUUGCUCCCAAAGUUUACUUGUUGUAGUAGCCUCAUAAUUUCAACAUGAAUCCUUGGUGUGUGUGUGUGUGUGUGUGUGUGUGUGUGUGUGUGUAUUUU
Molecule: non-coding RNA, 1245 nt
Organism: Microcebus murinus (gray mouse lemur)
Lineage: Eukaryota; Metazoa; Chordata; Mammalia; Primates; Cheirogaleidae
Source: RefSeq, a predicted model, not a curated record